UAGGGAAACUUCCGCAAUGGGCGAAAGCCUGACGGAGCAACGCCGCGUGAGUGAUGAAGGUCUUCGGAUCGUAAAACUCUGUUAUUAGGGAAGAACAAAUGUGUAAGUAACUAUGCACGUCUUGACGGUACCUAAUCAGAAAGCCACGGCUAACUACGUGCCAGCAGCCGCGGUAAUACGUAGGUGGCAAGCGUUAUCCGGAAUUAUUGGGCGUAAAGCGCGCGUAGGCGGUUUUUUAAGUCUGAUGUGAAAGCCCACGGCUCAACCGUGGAGGGUCAUUGGAAACUGGAAAACUUGAGUGCAGAAGAGGAAAGUGGAAUUCCAUGUGUAGCGGUGAAAUGCGCAGAGAUAUGGAGGAACACCAGUGGCGAAGGCGACUUUCUGGUCUGUAACUGACGCUGAUGUGCGAAAGCGUGGGGAUCAAACAGG
This 429-nucleotide ribosomal RNA is filed under the name Actinomycetes bacterium. RNAcentral's name for it is "Actinobacteria bacterium partial 16S ribosomal RNA". It matches the Rfam family "Bacterial small subunit ribosomal RNA", at positions 355 to 776 of the family's 1533-position model. Lineage: Bacteria; Bacillati; Actinomycetota; Actinomycetes. The record is from RNAcentral.